This 322-nucleotide unclassified non-coding RNA is filed under the name uncultured fungus. RNAcentral describes it as "sequence contains ITS1, 5.8S rRNA gene". The stretch from base 274 to 322 matches the Rfam family "5.8S ribosomal RNA", at positions 1 to 49 of the family's 154-position model. The record is from RNAcentral. Lineage: Eukaryota; Fungi.
UUUCCGUAGGUGAACCUGCGGAAGGAUCAUUAUUUAAUUUUAAUGAGGAGUUGGUUGUAGCUGGCCUCUGGGAUUUUUUUAAAUUAAUUGUUCCAAGGGCAUUUCGUGCACGCCCUCUCUUUCAUCAACACACACCUGUGCACUUGUGAGGCAGGUGCUGGGUUUUGAGUUCUUUAUUAAUUUAUUGGACUUCCUUCCUAACUCUGUCUACUUAAUUCACACACACUCUAUUUAAUUUAAACUGAAUGUAAUUGAUGUAACGCAUCUAAUACUAAGUUUCAACAACGGAUCUCUUGGCUCUCGCAUCGAUGAAGAACGCAGC